CCUACGGGAGGCAGCAGUGGGGAAUAUUGGGCAAUGGGCGCAAGCCUGACCCAGCAACGCCGCGUGAAGGUCAGUGCCCUAUGGGCGUUAAACUUCUUUUGUGCGGGAGCAAUAAUGGUCACGUGUGGCCAGACGAGAGUACCGUACGAAUAAGCAUCGGCUAACUCCGUGCCAGCAGCCGCGGUAAUACGGGGGAUGCAAUCGUUAUCCGGUUUUAUUGGGUUUAAAGGGUGCGUAGGCUGUGAGGUAAGUCAGCGGUGAAAUGCCCCCGCUCAACGGGGUGACGUGCCAUUGAAACUGACUUGCUGGAAUGCGGAUGCCGUGGGAGGAAUGUGUGGUGUAGCGGUGAAAUGCAUAGAUAUCACACAGAACACCGAUUGCGAAGGCAUCUCACGAAUCCGCGAUUGACGCUGAUGCACGAAAGCGUGGGUAUCAAACAGGAUUAGAUACCCGAGUAGUC
RNAcentral lists this ribosomal RNA (460 nucleotides) under uncultured bacterium. RNAcentral's name for it is "partial 16S ribosomal RNA". It matches the Rfam family "Bacterial small subunit ribosomal RNA", at positions 338 to 795 of the family's 1533-position model. The record is from RNAcentral.